CCUACGGGAGGCAGCAGUAGGGAAUAUUGCACAAUGGGGGAAACCCUGAUGCAGCAACGCCGCGUGGAUGAAGAAGGAUCUCGGAACGUAAAGUCCUAUCAGCAGAGAAGAAAAUGACGGUAUCUAACUAAGAAGCACCGGCUAACUACGUGCCAGCAGCCGCGGUAAUACGUAGGGUGCAAGCGUUAUGCGGAUUGACUGGGUGUAAAGGGGGCGUAGACGGGAUGACAAGUCUGGAGUGAAAUCCUAGGGCUUAACCCCGGAACUGCAUUGGAAACUGUGAGGCUGGAGUGCAGGAGGGGUAAGCGGAAUUCCUAGUGUAGCGGUGAAAUGCGUAGAUAUUAGGAGGAACACCGGUGGCGAAGGCGACUUACUGGACUGUAACUGACGUUGAGGCUCGAAAGCGUGGGGAGCAAACAGGAUUAGAUACCCUGGUAGUC
This 440-nucleotide ribosomal RNA is filed under the name uncultured bacterium. Its description in RNAcentral is "partial 16S ribosomal RNA". It matches the Rfam family "Bacterial small subunit ribosomal RNA", at positions 338 to 795 of the family's 1533-position model. The record is from RNAcentral.